Molecule: long non-coding RNA, 354 nt
Organism: Magnolia sinica
Lineage: Eukaryota; Viridiplantae; Streptophyta; Magnoliopsida; Magnoliales; Magnoliaceae
Exons: 3
Source: RefSeq, a predicted model, not a curated record
AUUUAAAGAUCCUUCUGGUGUUGUUGUUACAACCCAGGCUGAAAAUGUAAAGAUUCUUCUUUUGUGGGUCACAGAUAUCUGAUGUGGUUGAUUAGGAAGUCUGCAAGCUAGAUGAAAAGUUCAAGGAAGGGAGUCAUGUUCGAGUUCGUGUUCUUGGCUUUAGGCAUCUAUAAGGAUUGACAAUGGAUGUUUUAAAGGUGACACUGGCACACUUCCUUUUCUCUGCCAUUAUUAUAUUAUGUCAAGCUCACCAAAGAUCGACAGAAGAAACCAAUCCCUUGGAAACAAUGGCAAUCAUUGGCAACAAGGAGAUCAUUGACAUUAACCAAGGUAUGUCACCUUUUCUUUUCUUUU